UAAUUAGAACUCGGUAUUUGACUACUUUGAUUUAGGCCUUGAAUGAUAGCAGGGAGUUUAGCUCUCAAAAGAUCUUCUACUUGAGAUUGUAGAUUCACUUGGUGGUUGCUAAUUUGAGCUUCUAAAGACUCAAACCGAGAGGCCAACUCUUCAUUCUUUUUCUUCAACUCUUCAUUCUCCUUUUGCAAAUUGAGAUAAGUUUUUCUACAGGAAAUUGCAAUACAAGCGUGAACACGCCUUUUUCCAGAAAAAAAAUAGCAAAUUAUCAAAGAAACUAGAAAAUUACAAUACAAGCGCGAACACGCCUUUUUCCAAAAUAAAAGUAAUUAAACAACUAGCUCAAUAAACACAACAGCUAAAUUCUGGAGUCAAUAACAUUUAUUCCUUUAGGUUGCAAUGAAUAUAAUUUUGGAAUUCUCAAAUACUCUAAAUAGAGUAAUACACUAACAGCCCAUUCAUUUCACUAUAUAUAUAUAGGAUAUUAAUUUCAUAGAAUGAGACAUCUAGUACCCUAUGUGCCCAUCUCAACAUACUUCAUUUAAAUCUCUCUGCAUUUUUAUAAGAGCUUGUUAAAUUUACUCAAAGAAGACAAUGAACAUGAAACGCAUGCUAGCUUAUGGAUACAGAUUUUCUACGCAAUUCACAGCACAAUUUUAGAGAACAAGUAACAACAAACUAACACAGCCACCUUCUCGAGCAUGGACCUCAAGAAAGGAGAGUUCUCACUUUUUUAUGCAGAUGUAAGGGAACUAAAACAAAGAGAACUUCGGAAAGAAAAUCCCUCAUACCUUCUCUAAUUUAUUCACACCUUUCGCAUAUAUAUUCUUUCUUUUGCAGCAGAGCAAGACCAAACAUAUAGUGGACCUGAAAUGCAAAGGCAUCCAAAAUUACAAGUGUAUCAGAUUUUGUACGAAUACACUUUUAAUAGGAAAAAUAAAGUUGGUGUAUCUGAUGAUAAGUUUGUAGGUGAGAAGAAACACGUGGAAUACUUCGAAUCAAUCGGGCAUCUAAUUAGGAUGACUCCCCACAUCGACAACCAGAGGAUACUAAAGAAGAUUCUCCAUUUGAAGGAUGAUCAAUAACAAAAACAAACAACAAAGGUAGCUAGAUAUAUCUCUUCAUGAAAUCCCAAUAAAAUUAUACUAUAUAGAAUGUUUUUUCUAACACUAAUUUGAGAUGGCAAGCAACAUGAUCAGCAAAGUAAUACAUAAUCAAAUAACUUAUGCAAAAUUUGAGAAACAUAACAUUUACAUUGAAAUAUGAGCAUCAAGAACAUUAAUUACUAUUCAAGUUAUUGAAAAAAGUAUUAACAGUUGAAAAACCUCCAUCUCACCUCACCAUCAUCCACCGCCUAAUCUGUCAAAGUGGAAACAGCAAAAACAACUCCCAACAGACCCUCAAUAGCCAAAGUGAUGGCAUGUGCUUCACUAGCAACCAAGAUAGUAGUAUUU
This 1451-nucleotide long non-coding RNA is filed under the name Salvia miltiorrhiza (redroot sage). RNAcentral describes it as "long non-coding RNA (SMIL_LNC005583)". The record is from RNAcentral. Lineage: Eukaryota; Viridiplantae; Streptophyta; Magnoliopsida; Lamiales; Lamiaceae.